AGGAAGAAGAAGAGGGGGAGGAAGAGGAAAUUUCAAAACCUCCUGUUCCAAUAUGGAAAGCUCAAAAAAUUACUCCAUUAACCCUCUACACACCACCUCUUCCUGAAGUACCACCACAAUCUGACAUAACACCAACACAAGAAGAGCCCCAAACAUCUGAAGUUGGCGAAAAAGUUACUGCUCGACACCUUCCUGAUGAUUCAGGAAUAGGUGAACUUGAUGCAGAAGAGAAUGCAAGAGAAGUUCUAGAAAGCCAUAUGUCUGAAGACAUAAAACAAGAAAGUGCUGAGGAGGAAGAAAAAGAAAGACAAUCACAAUCGUCAAAUUAAAAUGAACAAAUCAACAGAAAAGGAGAUUGUGUGCCAGGUUUCUAACAUUAUAAUAAUCUUACUUUAUAUAGUUCACUAAAUUGGUUUAAAUAAGCUAAUAAAC
This 432-nucleotide long non-coding RNA is filed under the name Vombatus ursinus (common wombat). RNAcentral describes it as "lncRNA (ENSVURG00010016032.1)". The record is from RNAcentral. Lineage: Eukaryota; Metazoa; Chordata; Mammalia; Diprotodontia; Vombatidae.